AUGAUUACGGAUAAUCAUAAAAUCCGUAUUUUUUGGUUUGCGCUCGUGCGCAAAGUUCUUUCUCCAGCUGUGCUGUGCAGAAGUUGGUCCGCGUGCUCGUUCGUCUUUUGGCUGCACACACACACACAUACAUACACACGCACUUUCAACACACUCUUACACACUCUUCUUAUACACACUCUCUGUCUGGCUCUGCAACAUAGAGAGGUGAGCGCGCGCGCACGCAUGCAUGCAGCACACACACACAGUCUGGCAUACACGCGCGCUUCCACUCUCUGGCGCGCAACGCAACUCUUGCUUCGUGCAACCUUCGCUCGUGCAGAUUUCUCGCUCGCUAUAACUCCACUCUCUCUCGCGCGCGCAGGUACCGCGCACCUGGGGCCAAGCUGCUGUGGGCUGUGUGCUGAGGGCGCGCGCGAAGCCUCUAUCGCAUCCCUUUCUUCCACUCCACGCGCGAGAAGCCAAGGUAAUCAAGGCUUGAAGGGAGGACAGAGAGCGACUGCUGGAAUGACCAGAGGGCGAAAGGAUGAAGAUAUUUUGGGAAUGACUCGUGGUUUUACAGGAAGAGAGCAGAGUUAGAGGGUGGGUGGAGAGACGCUGCUGGAGUGACAGGAGGGGAAAAAGAUGAAGAUAUUUAAGGAAGGAUCUGGUUCUGUAUGAGGAGAGCAGGUACAGACUGAAUAAGAUUGAUUAGGAAAGUGUAAGUGUCUUGGUUUGGGUUGGUUUGGUACAAAUGUAGAAAAAAAUACUUAAAUGCUGUAAUAAGCUGCAGAAAUACUGUCUGAUAAGAAAAAAUGAGCUAAAAAAUGGAGAAAAAUGCUUGAUUGAGGGUGUGUGUGUGUGUAUAUAUAUAUAUAUAUAUAUAUAUAUAUAUCAAUUGUGUACAAACCUCCAUGUACCUAUGUACUGUACUUUACUAUAAAUUCAGUAAUAUAUGCCGUAAUAGACGCAGUACUGUACUAUUUCAAUACAGUACUAUAAAUACAAUACCAUGUACAGUAUUGCACUCCAAAUACAUUACUAUGUACAGUAUCAUGUAGUGUACUAAAACAAUUGCAAAAAGACCUGCACACGGUGACUUUGAGCUAUAAGCAUGCAUGGGCGUGCCAAAGCAUUACGAUGACAUAGGGGAUGGGAGUGGUCUAAAGAGGUAAUAAUAUACUACUAUACUAGAAAAUACAAUACUAUGUGACUUACUAUGCACAGUAUUAUACUAGACACACAGGACUAUGUACAGUGGAAACUAGAAAUACAAUAAUAUGUAUAAUACUAUACAAGAAAUGUAUUAAUACAUACAGUUCUGUACUAGAAAUACAGUAAUAUGUAAAGGACCAUACUCAAAAUACAGUACUGUGUACAGUAUUAUACUAGAAAUGCAACACUAUAAAGUGCUGUACUUACACUGUAUAUAUGUAUCAUACAACUCUCUGCAUAUUUUUGUAUUUAUUGUUUGGUUUAAAACACUUUAAGGAUUGCUGCGUAGCAUCUUUAUCUUUAACUUUUUUAUCUUUAUAUACAAUACCAUGUUUAAUACUGUACAAGAAAUGCAUCCAUUAACACAUACAGUACUAUACUAGAA
This 1579-nucleotide long non-coding RNA is filed under the name Astyanax mexicanus (Mexican tetra). RNAcentral's name for it is "lncRNA (ENSAMXG00005024750.1)". The record is from RNAcentral. Lineage: Eukaryota; Metazoa; Chordata; Actinopteri; Characiformes; Acestrorhamphidae.